This 404-nucleotide ribosomal RNA is filed under the name uncultured eukaryote. RNAcentral's name for it is "eukaryotic LSU rRNA". It matches the Rfam family "Eukaryotic large subunit ribosomal RNA", at positions 2353 to 2672 of the family's 3401-position model. The record is from RNAcentral.
CAUCUAGACGAAACCACAGCUAAGGGAACGGGCUUAGCAUAAUCAGCGGGGAAAGAAGACCCUGUUGAGCUUGACUCUAGUCAGACUUUGAGAAAUGACAUGAAGAAUAUAGCAUAGGUGGGAGAUUACUUAAAAUGAUCGACUUUGAAAUACCACUGUCUUUAUAGUUGUUUUUCUUAUUUAAUUGGGUAGAAACAGGGCCAAAAAGCCCUUUUUUCUUGAGUUAAUUGGAAUGAUACGCUUGGGGGGGUAUUAUUGUCUAGUCUCUGAAAGGGGAUUAGGUGGUAGUAUCUGUUAUCCCCAGGCCUCUGCAUCCGAGAUCUAGGUUAAAGACAUUGUCUGGUGGGGAGUUUGGGCUGGGGCGGCACAUCUGUUAAAAGCUAACACAGGUGUCCUAAGAGGAG